Spiroplasma diminutum is the source of this 156-nucleotide non-coding RNA. The record is from Rfam. Lineage: Bacteria; Bacillati; Mycoplasmatota; Mollicutes; Entomoplasmatales; Spiroplasmataceae.
AUAUUAAUGCUAUUCGUACCGAAGAAAGUAACUGGGAUUUAUCCCUUAAUUUGUUACCGAGGAAUGAAACUACAUAUAUAAUUGUAAGUUUUUCUUACAAUGUUUAUUGUAUUUUUAAUUGACCUCGGAAAUUAUCUGAGGUUUUAUUUUGAUCUU